GACGAACGCUGGCGGCGUGCCUAAUACAUGCAAGUCGAACGCUUCUUUCCUCCCGAGUGCUUGCACUCAAUUGGAAAGAGGAGUGGCGGACGGGUGAGUAACACGUGGGUAACCUACCCAUCAGAGGGGGAUAACACUUGGAAACAGGUGCUAAUACCGCAUAACAGUUUAUGCCGCAUGGCAUAAGAGUGAAAGGCGCUUUCGGGUGUCGCUGAUGGAUGACCCGCGGUGCAUUAGCUAGUUGGUGAGGUAACGGCUCACCAAGGCCACGAUGCAUAGCCGACCUGAGAGGGUGAUCGGCCACACUGGGACUGAGACACGGCCCAGACUCCUACGGGAGGCAGCAGUAGGGAAUCUUCGGCAAUGGACGAAAGUCUGACUGAGCAACGCCGCGUGAGUGAAGAAGGUUUUCGGAUCGUAAAACUCUGUUGUUAGAGAAGAACAAGGACGUUAGUAACUGAACGUCCCCUGACGGUAUCUAACCAGAAAGCCACGGCUAACUACGUGC
Molecule: ribosomal RNA, 508 nt
Filed under: uncultured bacterium
Lineage: Bacteria
Description: partial 16S ribosomal RNA
Rfam family: Bacterial small subunit ribosomal RNA
Source: RNAcentral